AUGCGGAUGAAGUUGAAAGCAGCCUAUAUGUUGAUAGAACAAUUGUAUACUGGUGCUCAACGAGUCAUCUGUGCGGCCUUCUUCAACAAACCGAGACCAACCUUGAUCAAGGAUACAUUGGCCAAAUUAUCUAUGACCCCGGCCCAGAUGGAAGAGGUAAAGCGGUCUGCCGCCAGAGCUGGCGCUUUAACAGCCCUGACUCGGGCCAAAGCUUGGAUUGCUGAUCUUGAUCCGGCAGACAUCGCAAAGGGCUAUCCAGGUCAACAAGAAGAUGGAUCAGAGUUUGAUAAUGAAGCCCUCAAAGCCCUGACAAAAGAGAUGCGCCCACUGGCAAGCCAAUUGGCUGAAGAGGUUGACUUGUCUAUCUAUCGGUCCAGCUAUGAUGCAGACAACAAGCAGGUUGACGCAGCUGUGAAAGAAGCACAAAAUCUUAUCCCUCCAAUCCGUAAGCACACCUAUGCCCCUGACGUUGAACCGUCCAAUCUUAUAAGCAAUGAAGCUAUCUUCCAAGCCUUAACCAGGAUUGAUUGGACCACCCUUGACUUCCAGCCACUGGGUGAGGAGGAGGAAGUUGAACCGACGCAAGAUGAUCCUUCAACUUCACAUCAGCCUGGUGACGAAUCAUAA
This 627-nucleotide ribosomal RNA is filed under the name Triticum aestivum (bread wheat). RNAcentral's name for it is "partial small subunit ribosomal RNA". Lineage: Eukaryota; Viridiplantae; Streptophyta; Magnoliopsida; Poales; Poaceae. The record is from RNAcentral.